This 452-nucleotide ribosomal RNA is filed under the name uncultured bacterium. RNAcentral describes it as "SSU rRNA". It matches the Rfam family "Bacterial small subunit ribosomal RNA", at positions 26 to 523 of the family's 1533-position model. The record is from RNAcentral.
AGAGCGAACGCUGGCGGCAUGCUUAACACAUGCAAGUCUCACGGGCAGCAAUGUCAGUGGCGGACGGGUGAGUAACGCGUAGGUAUCUAUCCAUGGGUGGGGGAUAACGUCGGGAAACUGACGCUAAUACCGCAUGACAUCUGAGGAUCAAAGGCGCGAGUCGCCUGUGGAGGAGCCUGCGUACGAUUAGCUAGUUGGUGGGGUAAAGGCCUACCAAGGCUACGAUCGUUAGCUGGUCUGAGAGGAUGAUCAGCCACACUGGGACUGAGACACGGCCCAGACUCCUACGGGAGGCAGCAGUGGGGAAUAUUGGACAAUGGGCGAAAGCCUGAUCCAGCAAUGCCGCGUGUGUGAAGAAGGUCUUCGGAUUGUAAAGCACUUUCGGCGGGGUACGAUGAUGACGGUACCCGCAGAAGAAGCCCCGGCUAACUUCGUGCCAGCAGCCGCGGUAA